RNAcentral lists this ribosomal RNA (465 nucleotides) under uncultured Klebsiella sp. RNAcentral's name for it is "bacterial SSU rRNA". It matches the Rfam family "Bacterial small subunit ribosomal RNA", at positions 338 to 795 of the family's 1533-position model. The record is from RNAcentral. Lineage: Bacteria; Pseudomonadati; Pseudomonadota; Gammaproteobacteria; Enterobacterales; Enterobacteriaceae.
CCUACGGGUGGCAGCAGUGGGGAAUAUUGCACAAUGGGCGCAAGCCUGAUGCAGCCAUGCCGCGUGUGUGAAGAAGGCCUUCGGGUUGUAAAGCACUUUCAGCGGGGAGGAAGGCGGUGAGGUUAAUAACCUCAUCGAUUGACGUUACCCGCAGAAGAAGCACCGGCUAACUCCGUGCCAGCAGCCGCGGUAAUACGGAGGGUGCAAGCGUUAAUCGGAAUUACUGGGCGUAAAGCGCACGCAGGCGGUCUGUCAAGUCGGAUGUGAAAUCCCCGGGCUCAACCUGGGAACUGCAUUCGAAACUGGCAGGCUAGAGUCGUGUAGAGGGGGGUAGAAUUCCAGGUGUAGCGGUGAAAUGCGUAGAGAUCUGGAGGAAUACCGGUGGCGAAGGCGGCCCCCUGGACAGAGACUGACGCUCAGGUGCGAAAGCGUGGGGAGCAAACAGGAUUAGAUACCCGGGUAGGC